Molecule: ribosomal RNA, 497 nt
Filed under: uncultured bacterium
Lineage: Bacteria
Description: partial 16S ribosomal RNA
Rfam family: Bacterial small subunit ribosomal RNA
Source: RNAcentral
GAUGAACGCUGGCGGCGUGCCUAAUACAUGCAAGUCGAGCGAACAGAUAAGGAGCUUGCUCCUUUGACGUUAGCGGCGGACGGGUGAGUAACACGUGGGUAACCUACCUAUAAGACUGGGAUAACUUCGGGAAACCGGAGCUAAUACCGGAUAAUAUUUCGAACCGCAUGGUUCGAUAGUGAAAGAUGGUUUUGCUAUCACUUAUAGAUGGACCCGCGCCGCAUUAGCUAGUUGGUAAGGUAACGGCUUACCAAGGCGACGAUACGUAGCCGACCUGAGAGGGUGAUCGGCCACACUGGAACUGAGACACGGUCCAGACUCCUACGGGAGGCAGCAGUAGGGAAUCUUCCGCAAUGGGCGAAAGCCUGACGGAGCAACGCCGCGUGAGUGAUGAAGGUCUUCGGAUCGUAAAACUCUGUUAUUAGGGAAGAACAUACGUGUAAGUAACUGUGCACGUCUUGACGGUACCUAAUCAGAAAGCCACGGCUAACUACGUG